GAGCUCAAUGACCAGAGCAUCUGCCUUGCAUGCAGAAUGCUUCAUGUUCAAUCCCUGCCAUCUUCA
Non-coding RNA from Podarcis lilfordi (Lilford's wall lizard), 66 nucleotides. Lineage: Eukaryota; Metazoa; Chordata; Lepidosauria; Squamata; Lacertidae. The record is from the annotation of a GenBank genome assembly.